Molecule: small RNA, 352 nt
Filed under: Caenorhabditis elegans
Lineage: Eukaryota; Metazoa; Nematoda; Chromadorea; Rhabditida; Rhabditidae
Description: Unclassified non-coding RNA H06H21.38
Source: RNAcentral
GUUGAAGCAACGAAGACACGGACUGCGGAAAAUGGUUCAUGGCAACCAAAUACUCCCUGGAAAAAUAAAAUAAAAUAAUUAAUCACUUGAAUUUCUGGAAUAUACAUACCUGCAUCAACAAAUUUCCAGGCAAUCUGACACGAAUCAACGUAUAUUUGUAGCGAUAAUUGGUCAUUUGUUCGUCUUUUUGUCUCAUUUCCUUCGUACGCAAUGUCAGCAUCUAAAAAUUCAAUUUAUUGUGUGAUUUUUCAAUUUAAAGCUCCACUCACUCUCUCCACCUGCAUCUCCUUAUUUCUCUGUUCGGCUUUGAGUUCAGCAGUCGACAAAUUGUAAAAAUCAUCUGCCAACUUUG